Non-coding RNA from Monodelphis domestica (gray short-tailed opossum), 470 nucleotides. NCBI's taxonomy places the organism in Eukaryota, Metazoa, Chordata, Mammalia, Didelphimorphia, Didelphidae. The record is from RefSeq and is a predicted model, not a curated record.
GGCCAAGAUUCUCCAGGCAUAAUUAAUUCUCAUGGGAAGCUAUUAAUUUCAAGGGAUAUCACCACUAUGACAUUGCUCUUCUUGGCCUGAGAGGAUGGUUCUGAGCUAGAGGUUAGCUACUAAGAGGUCAUUUGGCUCAUUACUUCCCUCAUCAUGAAGAAACUGAGACCCAGGAAGCUUAGCCAAUGAAAAUGAUCAAUGGUAAGUGCCCAAGGGAGAUGGAAAGGGAUAGUAUCAAAAGACUAACUUAAGGCUAUUAUUAUCCUUGGCAAUGGAAUGGGUUACUUUUUCUUAAAAGACUGGAGCAAAGGAAGAAAGAUAAGGUAAAAGUAAGGUGUUGGUUUUGAGGUAUGUACUGAGUAGAAAUGAUGAGGGAGCUCCUGAUUUAAGGUCUUGGUUUUCUCAGCAAAGUAGAAAUCAUAUGGUAAGAGAGAGAGGUAUAGUAACAAUUAUGUUAGAAGUUUGAGGAG